GAUGAACGCUGGCGGCGUGCCUAAUACAUGCAAGUCGAGCGAACAGACGAGGAGCUUGCUCCUCUGACGUUAGCGGCGGACGGGUGAGUAACACGUGGAUAACCUACCUAUAAGACUGGGAUAACUUCGGGAAACCGGAGCUAAUAACGGAUAAUAUAUUGAACCGCAUGGUUCAAUAGUGAAAGACGGUUUUGCUGUCACUUAUAGAUGGAUCCGCGCCGCAUUAGCUAGUUGGUAAGGUAACGGCUUACCAAGGCAACGAUGCGUAGCCGACCUGAGAGGGUGAUCGGCCACACUGGAACUGAGACACGGUCCAGACUCCUACGGGAGGCAGCAGUAGGGAAUCUUCCGCAAUGGGCGAAAGCUUGACGGAGCAACGCCGCGUGAGUGAUGAAGGUCUUCGGAUCGUAAAACUCUGUUAUUAGGGAAGAACAAAUGUGUAAGUAACUAUGCACGUCUUGACGGUACCUAAUCAGAAAGCCACGGCUAACUACGUG
Molecule: ribosomal RNA, 497 nt
Filed under: uncultured bacterium
Lineage: Bacteria
Description: partial 16S ribosomal RNA
Rfam family: Bacterial small subunit ribosomal RNA
Source: RNAcentral